CGGACGGGUGAGUAAUGUCUGGGAAACUGCCCGAUGGAGGGGGAUAACUACUGGAAACGGUAGCUAAUACCGCAUAACGUCGCAAGACCAAGAGGGGGACCUCGGGCCUCUUGCCAUCGGAUGUGCCCAGAUGGGAUUAGCUAGUAGGUGGGGUAACGGCUCACCUAGGCGACGAUCCCUAGCUGGUCUGAGAGGAUGACCAGCCACACUGGAACUGAGACACGGUCCAG
This 230-nucleotide ribosomal RNA is filed under the name uncultured bacterium. RNAcentral describes it as "partial 16S ribosomal RNA". It matches the Rfam family "Bacterial small subunit ribosomal RNA", at positions 99 to 334 of the family's 1533-position model. The record is from RNAcentral.